This is a long non-coding RNA of Peromyscus eremicus (cactus mouse), 276 nucleotides long. RefSeq lists it as uncharacterized. Lineage: Eukaryota; Metazoa; Chordata; Mammalia; Rodentia; Cricetidae. The record is from RefSeq and is a predicted model, not a curated record. The transcript has 3 exons.
UUUCAGUGAGAAGUUUAGAUGUAGCAGCUGUGAAGUUGCUUGGACAGAAGUAUAAUCUGAUAAGCCCUAGAUGGUACCCAGAGAAGAACGGAUAUUUAUAUUUCUCUGAAGAAGCUGAAUGAAAUAUUCUGCUUUCAUCCACAAACACAAACAUCUGAAAAUAGGAAGAAAACAUGAAAUGAAUUGAAAAAGUCUUAUGCAGAUUAAUCAGGAACAAACUACUAUGCAGCCAAGGAUGACCUUGGACUUGAACUUCUCCUUUUCCUGGCUCCAAGU